Long non-coding RNA from Acanthopagrus latus (yellowfin seabream), 416 nucleotides. RefSeq lists it as uncharacterized. The record is from RefSeq and is a predicted model, not a curated record. The transcript is spliced from 3 exons. NCBI's taxonomy places the organism in Eukaryota, Metazoa, Chordata, Actinopteri, Spariformes, Sparidae.
AUAAGAGUGGUGUGUGUCAGGGGCUACAUAGCAUUGUGAUAUUUCUACUCGUCAUGUUCUAAUCCACAUUAAGUUUAUUACCUGACUUUUAUAUCGGGAGGUGGAGGAGGAGUGCAAGGCUGCGUUUAACCAUUUAACUGACGCUGGAGGGCAGGUGGACCGUCAUAAAUUGGAAGCUUAAUGGCUGCUGACCAAGCUGCUGGAUUUGAGGAGUCGUGAGCGAGAACAUAAACUUACAAGUUUCAACACAUCCAUGGUUUUGCCGAAAUGUGCCGUCAUUCACCCCGUGAAACGCCGGAGAAAGCGUCGGUAGCCGAGACUUCUGAAGGGAUUCUGAAUAAAUAAGCUGGACGUGCAUUCAGGCUUUGUGGUGUCAUUGACGGUGCGCAAUCACUUUUGAAUCACAAUGAAAAUAA